ACCCCGUGAGGGGGUGGUGUUGCUGGCUUCUCAGUGACUCCGCAGUGGAAAGUCCCAGCCUCACAGCGCCCUGCCCCAGGGUCGGGAGCCAGCAGCCUUGGGAGAGGCAGGUUCCGACUUUGCUCUCCUCCGGAGAUGUCCCUUUCCCUUCCCAAGGAUACUGAGAUGCUGGAGCUGAGGAACGAUGGGGGAAAGUGUCCUUGCCAAAAGAGACGUGGACUUGGGGCUUUUAUUUCUGGAGCUGGCUGUCUAGCUCUCCUAAUGAGCGAAUAUGCUCUCUUUAAGGAAACAAACAAACAAAGCAAAAACACCAAUUCAUCUGGAUUUUAUUCAUUUGUUUUAAAUGCAAACAAACAAAAGGAGAGGGAGAAGUGGUUAUUUCUGCACCAACUAUUUCAAAUGCAAGUUACUCCAUUGCUCGGGGUGUUUGGAUGUGCUUGUCGCCAUAGGACCCACAGGGCUAGUUCCAACCGUUAUUCGUGCCUCAACCUGUCAUGGUGUUUUUUAAAUUUGCUAUUGAAUGUCACGUCCGUCAGGCACAUGGAUACUCGUGGGAUGAAGAAAUGGAGAUGCAUCAAGGUCACAUAAUUGCUGACAGACACAGCUAUUUAACAGUGGAGUCAAGACCAGAGGAGAGCACAUCUGGAGGGUAAACCAAGCUGGGGAGUUGGGGAGUCCCAUACCAAUCAACUGUUUCUUCUCUCCAUCUCUCCCUUGGAUGUGCUGCUUCAGACCCGGCCCUCCUUCCCACGGCCCUCUCCCCUCACAUUUUCAUCGCCUCAGAGAGGAGAUUUCCCAUGACCACUUGUGCCUAACGGCCAGUCUCAAGCCUUCAGAUCCUCCUAGGCAACUCAUCUUGACCUCAACGAUCACUUCCUGACUUGCUGGGCUGCAUCAACCUUCUGGCCUUGCCUCCAUUUGAUCCCUUUGGCCUCUGCUGAACCUUGGGACUUAAGGCCCCCAGCUCAGGGCUCCUCUCACCACUGCCAAUGACCUGUUUGUUCCCAGCUCCCCGGGACUGGUCUGCUUAUCAUGUCUCUAAUCCCUGUGGUUGGAGCUGUGAAGAAAAAGCUUCUGGGCAAGAUGCCACUAGCAAGCCUGUCUCCCUAGGAACAGACCCCUUUUCUCUCUAGUCGUUCAGAAACCUACCCCUCCUCUCACAGCUGUGUGAAAAGAAGCCAAAUGCCCAUUCUUAAUGUGUGACGACUGAGGCUCACAUGCAGACUGCUGUUAUCUCAGCAGGAGAGCAAUUUGCAACCAUUUAAAACCCGUUCUCUCUUCCCCUCUCCUCAGUGUAUGCUUACACACACCCUAGUCCAUAUUUAUUAGUGCAGAUGGUGAGAUGCUCGUCAUUGAAAGGCCUGAGAGCACAGAGCGAAAUGGAUUUUUGGCCUCACUCUGGCCUUAUAAACAAGAAGGCUUGAAUGAUUUUAGGUUCCUGAUUCUUGCCUCAAAAGAGCACAGUUUGCUUCUCUCCAAACACAAGAGGUUGUAAAUUGGUAAUUCAUCUCAACCAAAGGCCACAUGAUGAGCAAUUGUAGAAGCAUUUUUUUCCUUGUUGUGCAAAGGAGGAACCUGACAUCUGAGUGUGGGUUCCAGCUGGUACUUGCCUUCUACCAUUCGCAGCCUGAAGGCACCGUCAUGGCCAGCCCUGGGCUCCCCGACCUCCUCCUGCCUUUCACCUGCGUCCCACCAGGGCCAUUGCCAGGGGAGAAGUCAGCUCAGCAUUUCUACGUGACUCUUUCUUUCUUUUUUUUUCAGCUAAAAAAUAAAUCAG
This 1777-nucleotide long non-coding RNA is filed under the name Equus caballus (horse). Its description in RNAcentral is "lncRNA (ENSECAG00000029938.2)". Lineage: Eukaryota; Metazoa; Chordata; Mammalia; Perissodactyla; Equidae. The record is from RNAcentral.